This 100-nucleotide transfer RNA is filed under the name bacterium. Its description in RNAcentral is "tRNA-Sec". It matches the Rfam family "Selenocysteine transfer RNA". RNAcentral also lists the same sequence under 4 other names. The record is from RNAcentral.
GGAAGUGCUUGCUCGGCUGGUGCCGGCCGCGGUCUUCAAAACCGUUGAGCCGCAUGGAAAUCAUGUGGUUGGUGGGUUCGAUUCCCAUGCAUUUCCGCCA